UACAGAGGGUGCAAGCGUUAAUCGGAGUUACUGGGCGUAAAGGGCGCGUAGGCGGAUAUUUAAGUCGGUUGUGAAAUACCCGGGCUUAACCUGGGAAUUGCAAUCGAUACUGGAUAUCUAGAGUAUGGGAGAGGAAAGUGGAAUUCCCGGUGUAGCGGUUAAAUGCGUAGAUAUCGGGAAGAACACCAGCGCGAAGGCGACUUUCUGGACCAAUACUGACGCUGAGGCGCGAAAGCGUGGGGAGCAAACAGG
RNAcentral lists this ribosomal RNA (252 nucleotides) under uncultured bacterium. Its description in RNAcentral is "partial 16S ribosomal RNA". It matches the Rfam family "Bacterial small subunit ribosomal RNA", at positions 524 to 776 of the family's 1533-position model. The record is from RNAcentral.